This is a non-coding RNA of Brachypodium distachyon (stiff brome), 194 nucleotides long. NCBI's taxonomy places the organism in Eukaryota, Viridiplantae, Streptophyta, Magnoliopsida, Poales, Poaceae. The record is from Rfam.
UAUCUUUGUCAUAAGUCAAACUUCUUAACGUUUGACCAAGUUUAUUGAAAAAUGUACCAACAUCUACAAUAUCAAAUAAGUAUGUUAUGAAGAUAUAUAAGUAUUUCAUAAAACUAAUUUAGAGUUGUAGCUGUUGGUAGAUUUUUCUAUAAACUUGGUCAAACUUUAAGAAGUUUGACUUUGGACAAACCUAA